GACGAACGCUGGCGGCGUGCCUAAUACAUGCAAGUCGAACGCUUCUUUCCUCCCGAGUGCUUGCACUCAAUUGGAAAGAGGAGUGGCGGACGGGUGAGUAACACGUGGGUAACCUACCCAUCAGAGGGGGAUAACACUUGGAAACAGGUGCUAAUACCGCAUAACAGUUUAUGCCGCAUGGCAUAAGAGUGAAAGGCGCUUUCGGGUGUCGCUGAUGGAUGGACCCGCGGUGCAUUAGCUAGUUGGUGAGGUAACGGCUCACCAAGGCCACGAUGCAUAGCCGCCCGGAGGGGGUGUCCGGCCCCCCUGGACUUAGGCCCCGCCCCAGCCCCCGCCGGGAGGCGGCAGUGGGAAUUCUCCGGCAAGGGCCGAAGUUUUGCCCGAGCACCGCGGCGUGGUUGAAGAGGUUUUCCGGUCGUAAAACUCUGUUGUUAGAGAAGAACAAGGACGUUAGUAACUGAACGUCCCCUGACGGUAUCUAACCAGAAAGCCACGGCUAACUACGUG
This 507-nucleotide ribosomal RNA is filed under the name uncultured bacterium. RNAcentral's name for it is "partial 16S ribosomal RNA". It matches the Rfam family "Bacterial small subunit ribosomal RNA", at positions 28 to 507 of the family's 1533-position model. The record is from RNAcentral.